This 96-nucleotide ribosomal RNA is filed under the name Prolemur simus (greater bamboo lemur). The record is from RNAcentral. Lineage: Eukaryota; Metazoa; Chordata; Mammalia; Primates; Lemuridae.
GUCUAUGGCCAUACCACCCCGAACGUGUCUGAUCUUGAAGCUAAGUAGGGUUGGGCCUGGUUAGUACUUGGAGGGAGAAAACAUGCACCAUGGGAC